CUUCCUUAUCGUCGCGCUCUCUCUCAAAAGUCCAAAGUACAAAACGACUUCGGUUACAUUCUUCUCCUUCAAGAAAACUUGGCUGGCUGGCUAGCUCGCAUUCUGUUCAUCUGCCUGAUUUUUUUUUUCCUCCUUUGUUAAUACUUCUUUUUUUCCCCCCUAAGGAAUGAUGUUCGGUCUCAUUUCUAAAUUCCCAGAAACUCAUUCCCCCUGACUUACGUUACUUGAAGUGGGGUCCAAAUUAACGCCACCAUUAUCAGAUUAUUUUGCUUCCUUGACAAUGCCAUGCUGAGAAUUACCGAAUCUCACCUACUAAUUCUUCACCAACUACAAACAUUUUGGAUGGAUUUAGAUUUCCCUGAGACCUUUUUUUAAGGCCUCGUAGAUUGGAUUUUCUCAUGGCUCUGAAGGGCGUUUCCAUCUGGAGUUGUUCCCAAGCUCCUCAAUUGGGUGUUGCAAAUUCUCAUUCGGGAAAUUCUGGGAAGAUUGUCAAUUUGAGAGGUGACUUUGGGAAAUGCCGCAAAUGGGAAUGCUGUUGUUUGGAUGUUUUAGCUCAGAGAGCUACGACUCCCGUUGAAGAUGAGAAGCCAACUAUGCCAAUGGUUGAAAUUUCUAGGCCCAGUGAUGGGGCUCAUGAAAAUGACUCCAAGGGGUUUCACAAGGAUUUAAACCUGCUUCCUAGUGAGUUAUAUCUAUCCGAACCAUUGACAGCUAAUGAUGUUUCUUCUCCUCCAAGUGAUGGAUCAAAGGUGCGCGUUGCAUAUCAGGGCAUACCUGGAGCAUAUAGUGAGGAUGCAGCUUUGAAGGCAUAUCCAAAAUGUGAGACUGUUCCAUGUGAUGAAUUUGAAGUUGCAUUCAAGGCAGUUGAGUUGUGGAUAGUGGAUAAAGCUGUUCUACCCAUUGAAAAUUCUGUUGGUGGAAGUAUCCACCGUAAUUAUGAUUUGCUUCUUCGCCAUAGGCUGCACAUUGUUGGAGAGGUGCAGUUGCAAGUUAACCACUGCCUCUUAGGAUUGCCUGGUGUGAGAAAGGAGGAGCUGAAACGUGUUGUGAGUCAUCCUCAGGCUCUUGCUCAAUGUGAGGUGAUGCUUAACAACUUAAAUGUUAUCAGAGUUGGUUCACCUGAUACAGCUGGUGCUGCUCAGACAGUGGCAUCGAAUGGCAUUAGAGACACUGGAGCUAUUGCUAGUGCUAGAGCUGCCAAGCUAUAUGGCCUAGACAUGCUUGCAGAAAAUGUCCAGGAUGAUGAUGAGAAUAUUUCACGUUUUCUGAUCCUUGCAAGGGAGCCUGUAAUUCCAGGAACUGACAGACGUUAUAAGACUAGCAUUGUUUUUAGUCUGGAAGAAGGGCCUGGUGUCCUUUUCAAAGCUUUGGCAGUUUUUGCUUUGAGGGACAUUAAUUUGUCAAAGAUAGAGAGCCGUCCACAGCUACAGCGCCCAUUAAGGGUAGUUGAUGAUUCAAAUCAAGGGAGAGCCAAGUACUUCGAUUACCUCUUCUUCAUCGACUUCGAAGCUUCUCUGGCAGAACCUCGUGCGCAAUUUGCUUUAGGACAUUUGCAGGAAUUUUCAAGUUUUCUUCGUGUUCUUGGUUGUUAUCCUAUGGAUACAGUAUGAUUGAGGCUGAAUGCCUGAACAAGGAGUAGAAGUCCAUGCUGUAAAUUUUACUGAUCUGGGCAAAAGCCAUUACCAUUGACCACCAGAUGUUCUUCCUGAAUCAGAGUGAAGUGGAACCGAUACAAGGCGUAAAAGCUGAUACAGAAGACAGAUUAAUCAUCUGAGGUUAUUGAGUCUGUUCCUAGUAAUUUUCUAAGAACAGCACGUACUUAGCUGUGCCAAUCAAAUCAUCCAUCAAUGUAUGUCUAGAACGUAUUUUUCCGUCUAUUUAGGAUCAACUUAUAUCUUGGAACCUCUGCCUCACUAGUGAUGUUGGUCUUGGGAUUUUUAUUUUAUUUUUAUAUUUUUCCUUUUCGGCUCCUCUUUCUUUUUCUCAAGACCCGAACUAGUUCUAAAGAAUCUAAUUAGUUUAUUUUCUAAUGAAAUAUGUUUAUUAUUUA
RNA transcript from Prosopis cineraria, 2050 nucleotides. It is a transcript of the gene named arogenate dehydratase/prephenate dehydratase 1, chloroplastic-like, with no coding region annotated. The transcript is spliced from 12 exons. NCBI's taxonomy places the organism in Eukaryota, Viridiplantae, Streptophyta, Magnoliopsida, Fabales, Fabaceae. The record is from RefSeq and is a predicted model, not a curated record.